This 378-nucleotide ribosomal RNA is filed under the name Pinnularia sp. NE-P08. RNAcentral describes it as "SSU rRNA". It matches the Rfam family "Eukaryotic small subunit ribosomal RNA", at positions 582 to 968 of the family's 1831-position model. Lineage: Eukaryota; Bacillariophyta; Bacillariophyceae; Sellaphorales; Pinnulariaceae. The record is from RNAcentral.
AUUCCAGCUCCAAUAGCGUAUAUUAAAGUUGUUGCAGUUAAAAAGCUCGUAGUUGAAUUUGUGGUGUUGUCCUUGGCCCAAAAUCUUUUGGUGCCGUUGGGCGAUGUCAUCCUUGGGUGGAACCUGUGGGGCAUUAGGUUGUUUUGCAGGGGAUGCCCAUCGUUUACUGUGAAAAAAUUAGAGUGUUCAAAGCAGGCUUAUGCCGUUGAAUAGAUUAGCAUGGAAUAAUGAGAUAGGACUUUGGUACUAUUUUGUUGGUUUGUGCACUGAAGUAAUGAUUAAUAGGGACAGUUGGGGGUAUUCGUAUUCCAUUGUCAGAGGUGAAAUUCUUGGAUUUUUGGAAGACGAACUACUGCGAAAGCAUUUACCAAGGAUGUU